Molecule: ribosomal RNA, 251 nt
Filed under: uncultured prokaryote
Description: partial 16S rRNA
Rfam family: Bacterial small subunit ribosomal RNA
Source: RNAcentral
ACGGAGGGUGAAAGCGUUACUCGGAAUCACUGGGCGUAAAGAGCGUGUAGGCGGGGAUAUAAGUCAGAAGUGAAAUCUUAUAGCAUAACUAUAGAACUGCUAUUGAAACUGUAGAACUAGAAUGAGGGAGAGGUAGAUGGAAUUUCUGGUGUAGGCGUAAAAUCCGUAGAGAUCUGAGGGAAUACCGAUUGCGAAGGCGACCUACUGGAUCAUUACUGACGCUGAGACACGAAAGCUUGGGGAGCAAACAG